CAAGUAAAUCCGUUCAUUUGAAGAGGCUGUAGCCUUGUCAACGGAAAGUUCCGAUGGUAUAUUUUACCGAUUUCCGGCGGCAUCCGUGGAGAUAACAGAAAAAGGAGAAGAAAGCAGUUUGGGCGAAGCCCAAGGGGGGGUAUGUCCCCCCCAACGAACAGAAACACUAAACAGUGAUAAGACUGAUAAGAAGUAUAUUCCUCCUUCGUUAAUCGUGAUUUUAGUUUAUCAAUCAUACUUAAAAGUAUUAGAAAAUGGUUGCUAUAAUAAUUUGAAAGAAGAACGAAGAGCUGAACCUCAGACCUCAGUUCAUGUGGAUUGAAAGAAAUAUGUAUAUACUCUAAAAGAAAAUCGCUGGUAACAUGUCAUUUUAUUAAAUCUAUCUAACAACAAAAUAGCCUUGAUUCGGUGAGUAAUCUAAGGGUUACUUCAGUCUAUGCGCUCAAAUAGUUACUUAUCAUUGGAAAUAGAACUAAUCUGGAGAAAGAUAGAACCGUACCUUAUCAUUGGAAAUAGAACUAAUCUGGAGAAAGAUAGAACCGUACCUUUAGAAUUAGCUGAACAGUAAUACAUACCUACGCCAAACAAGUUGGCUCAAAUCGCAAAACAUUAUCACUCGUGUCAGCAAGACUGAACUGUGGUAUAGAAGAAUAUUAUUCUUAGAAUUGACUCAGCUCAUGUUACAAUUUUACAAAAAGCCGAAAAGCAAAGUAAACCUGAAAGAAACCGCUCUCAGUAGCUAAAACGUAACGUUCAAAUAGUCAACAACGAAGAAGAAAAUAAUUUAUCACAGUAUAGAAAAUUCUGCGGUGGUCCAUCGCAUUGAUAUCAAAUCACUAAAUCAGUAUAUUGUAUGUUUUAUUAUUAGGUAUCAAUGUACCUAAGUACUUUACUUGGUAUAUCCAACUGUGUUAAUCUGUUAAUCCUUUAUUACAAAUUAAAUUUGCAUCGUGUUAGAAUAGCUAUAGAUACGAUGCAAUCUAUAGAUUUCGGAUGUGCUUAUUGAGUUGUCUCAUCCUUGAUCGAGUUGUAAUAUGUAGGAGUAAUUUAUCGUUGUACAAUGUACGUGCAUUGUUUAAAUUUUCUAUUUCCUAUUUUUAUGUUGUGCUUUUCCGCGAUUUUAAUUUUAUGUCAACGAUUUUUUAAAUUACAAGUAUAAGGUGAGUUGUUUAUUUUCAGACUCAUUCUGUUCUAUAUACACUACAGUUACCAUAAUACAUGAUCUUGUGCGUU
Molecule: long non-coding RNA, 1233 nt
Organism: Planococcus citri (citrus mealybug)
Lineage: Eukaryota; Metazoa; Arthropoda; Insecta; Hemiptera; Pseudococcidae
Exons: 3
Source: RefSeq, a predicted model, not a curated record